RNAcentral lists this ribosomal RNA (492 nucleotides) under uncultured bacterium. RNAcentral describes it as "partial 16S ribosomal RNA". It matches the Rfam family "Bacterial small subunit ribosomal RNA", at positions 29 to 507 of the family's 1533-position model. The record is from RNAcentral.
AGUGAACGCUGGCGGUAGGCCUAACACAUGCAAGUCGAACGGCAGCACAGUAAGAGCUUGCUCUUACGGGUGGCGAGUGGCGGACGGGUGAGGAAUACAUCGGAAUCUACUUUUUCGUGGGGGAUAACGUAGGGCCACUUACGCUACUACCGCAUACGACCUACGGGUGAAAGCAGGGGAUCUUCGGACCUUGCGCGAUUGAAUGAGCCGAUGUCGGAUUAGCUAGUUGGCGGGGUAAAGGCCCACCAAGGCGACGAUCCGUAGCUGGUCUGAGAGGAUGAUCAGCCACACUGGAACUGAGACACGGUCCAGACUCCUACGGGAGGCAGCAGUGGGGAAUAUUGGGCAAUGGGCGCAAGCCUGAUCCAGCCAUACCGCGUGGGUGAAGAAGGCCUUCGGGUUGUAAAGCCCUUUUGUUGGGAAAGAAAAGCAGCAGGUUAAUACCCCGCUGUUCUGACGGUACCCAAAGAAUAAGCACCGGCUAACUUCGUG